AUCCAUGACUUCGGUUGUGGUGAAAGUGGCAAACGGGUGAGUAACGCGUGGGAAUCUGCCCAGAGGUAGGGAAUAACCGCGGGAAACUGCGGCUAAUACCCUAUGUGCCCUACGGGGCAAAGAUUUAUCGCCUUUGGAGGAGCCCGCGUCGGAUUAGGUAGUUGGUAGGGUAACGGCCUACCAAGCCUACGAUCCGUAGCUGGUCUGAGAGGAUGAUCAGCCACACUGGGACUGAGAUACGGCCCAGACUCCUACGGGAGGCAGCAGUGGGGAAUAUUGGACAAUGGGGGCAACCCUGAUCCAGCAAUGCCGCGUGAGUGAUGAAGGCCUUCGGGUUGUAAAGCUCUUUCGGCGGGGAAGAUGAUGACGGUACCCGCAGAAGAAGCCCCGGCUAACUUCGUGCCAGCAGCCGCGGUAAUACGAAGGGGGCUAGCGUUGUUCGGAAUUACUGGGCGUAAAGGGCGCGUAGGCGGUGCUGUAAGUCAGGCGUGAAAUCCCCGGGCUCAACCUGGGAAUUGCGUUUGAUACUGCGGCGCUGGAAUGCGGGAGAGGAUGGCGGAAUUCCCAGUGUAGAGGUGAAAUUCGUAGAUAUUGGGAAGAACACCGGUGGCGAAGGCGGCCAUCUGGCCCGUAAUUGACGCUGAGGCGCGAAAGCGUGGGGAGCAAACAGGAUUAGAUACCCUGGUAGUCCACGCCGUAAACGAUGAGUGCUAGACGUCGGGGAGCUUGCUCUUCGGUGUCGCCGCUAACGCAUUAAGCACUCCGCCUGGGGAGUACGGUCGCAAGAUUAAAACUCAAAGGAAUUGAC
This 808-nucleotide ribosomal RNA is filed under the name uncultured Alphaproteobacteria bacterium. Its description in RNAcentral is "bacterial SSU rRNA". It matches the Rfam family "Bacterial small subunit ribosomal RNA", at positions 70 to 914 of the family's 1533-position model. The record is from RNAcentral. Lineage: Bacteria; Pseudomonadati; Pseudomonadota; Alphaproteobacteria.